AAAAAAAAAACAACAAAAAUACAAGGUUUAGUCAGCUGCUGUUACAAACUGUUUAGGAUGAUUAAAUAAUGGAAGUCAGUAGUCAAUCAAACGCAUAGGUUAGAUAUUAGUCUGGAUUAUCACAGAAAUAUACAUCCUGGGUUGUACAGAUCAUAGGUAGCUGGAGACAGGCAAUGUUUGCUUGUUCAGAUAUGCUAUGAGUAGACAGAUGAUCUUCAAAGGUGUCAGAGAUCCACAGACCAUGGAAUUUAAAGUUACUUUAUUAUUAAAAGAUCUAUAAGACAGAUUGGCUCCUGACAGUACCCCUGUUCCACUUCAGAAAAGAUGAUGAGAAUCAAUAACCUCCAAGUGGAGUUGCUUCAAUUGAUAGCCACUGGGCAAGAACUGCCCUAACCUCAUCUGCAGACAGAAUGCUGUCCAAACAGCCAGACAAACAGAUGCAGGAUAGUUGGCUGCUGAGCUCUGCCAAGACAAGCUCUGUGAGUCCCGAUAUCUGGGACUCACACACGAUCUCUGCGCUGAAGGGCUUGCUUGGGCUGCUUGCUUCUCUGGUUUGGCGCCCACAGCACACAUGUUGUCUCCUAGACUUGGAUCGGCUCCACUCCACACACUGGCCACUGUCAUGGUCCUUCCACAGUCCUGGGUCCUCUCAUCCCCUGGAAUCUUCACGGCAACUGAGGCUUCACUGACAGCAAUGGCCUCCCGGCUGACCUGCAGAGACUCCACUCCUGCUGUAUGGUGUCGAGCGCCUGGACAGUUCUCCUUCAGUCCUGUGGGUCUCACUGUAACCGAGCAUACGUCUUCACCUAUGGCUUCCUGGCCUCUCUGCCAACCGUACCAAGCCUGACUGCUCGCCAUGACAUCCUCAUGUCUUCAAAAACAGCACAUGUGGAAGACUGUUCUCUGA
This is a long non-coding RNA of Mus musculus (house mouse), 907 nucleotides long. RefSeq annotates it as predicted gene 14320. The transcript has 2 exons. The record is from RefSeq and is a predicted model, not a curated record. Lineage: Eukaryota; Metazoa; Chordata; Mammalia; Rodentia; Muridae.